Molecule: ribosomal RNA, 465 nt
Filed under: uncultured bacterium
Lineage: Bacteria
Description: partial 16S ribosomal RNA
Rfam family: Bacterial small subunit ribosomal RNA
Source: RNAcentral
CCUACGGGCGGCUGCAGUGGGGAAUAUUGCGCAAUGGGCGAAAGCUUGACGCAGCGACGCCGCGUGAGGGAUGAAGGUCUUCGGAUCGUAAACCUCUGUCAGCAGGGAAGAACGGUCACUGUGCUAAUCAGCAGUGAAUUGACGGUACCUGCAAAGGAAGCACCGGCUAACUCUGUGCCAGCAGCCGCGGUAAUACGGAGGGUGCGAGCGUUAAUCGGAAUUACUGGGCGUAAAGCCGUCGUAAGCGGUAUGUUAAGUCAAGGAUGAAAUCCCCGCGCUCAACGUGGGGACGGCCUUUGAAACUGGCAAACUAGAGUGUGUGAGAGGAUAGUGGAAUUCCAGGUGUAGGAGUGAAAUCCGUAGAUAUAUGGAGGAACAUCAGAGGCGAAGGCGACUAUCUGGCACAUAACUGACGCUGAGGAGCGAAAGCGUGGGUAGCAAACAGGAUUAGAUACCCGUGUAGUC